This 893-nucleotide ribosomal RNA is filed under the name Staphylococcus aureus. RNAcentral describes it as "partial 23S ribosomal RNA". It matches the Rfam family "Bacterial large subunit ribosomal RNA", at positions 606 to 1501 of the family's 2925-position model. Lineage: Bacteria; Bacillati; Bacillota; Bacilli; Caryophanales; Staphylococcaceae. The record is from RNAcentral.
UUUUGUAGAAUGAACCGGCGAGUUACGAUUUGAUGCAAGGUUAAGCAGUAAAUGUGGAGCCGUAGCGAAAGCGAGUCUGAAUAGGGCGUUUAGUAUUUGGUCGUAGACCCGAAACCAGGUGAUCUACCCUUGGUCAGGUUGAAGUUCAGGUAACACUGAAUGGAGGACCGAACCGACUUACGUUGAAAAGUGAGCGGAUGAACUGAGGGUAGCGGAGAAAUUCCAAUCGAACCUGGAGAUAGCUGGUUCUCUCCGAAAUAGCUUUAGGGCUAGCCUCAAGUGAUGAUUAUUGGAGGUAGAGCACUGUUUGGACGAGGGGCCCCUCUCGGGUUACCGAAUUCAGACAAACUCCGAAUGCCAAUUAAUUUAACUUGGGAGUCAGAACAUGGGUGAUAAGGUCCGUGUUCGAAAGGGAAACAGCCCAGACCACCAGCUAAGGUCCCAAAAUAUAUGUUAAGUGGAAAAGGAUGUGGCGUUGCCCAGACAACUAGGAUGUUGGCUUAGAAGCAGCCAUCAUUUAAAGAGUGCGUAAUAGCUCACUAGUCGAGUGACACUGCGCCGAAAAUGUACCGGGGCUAAACAUAUUACCGAAGCUGUGGAUUGUCCUUUGGACAAUGGUAGGAGAGCGUUCUAAGGGCGUUGAAGCAUGAUCGUAAGGACAUGUGGAGCGCUUAGAAGUGAGAAUGCCGGUGUGAGUAGCGAAAGACGGGUGAGAAUCCCGUCCACCGAUUGACUAAGGUUUCCAGAGGAAGGCUCGUCCGCUCUGGGUUAGUCGGGUCCUAAGCUGAGGCCGACAGGCGUAGGCGAUGGAUAACAGGUUGAUAUUCCUGUACCACCUAUAAUCGUUUUAAUCGAUGGGGGGACGCAGUAGGAUAGGCGAAGCGUGCGAUUGG